GAUGAAGAAACGCAGCGAAAUGCGAUAAGUAAUGUGAAUUGCAGAAUUCAGUGAAUCAUCGAAUCUUUGAACGCACAUUGCGCCCGCCAGUAUUCUGGCGAGCAUGCCUGUUCGAGCGUCAUUUCAACCAUCAAGCCCCAGGCUUGUGUUGGAGCCCUGCGGCUGCCGCAGCCUCCCAAAACCAGUGGCGGGCUCGCUAUCACACCGAGUGCAGUAGUUUACUCUUCGCUCAGGGCGUGUGGCGGGUGCUAGCCGUGAAACCCCCAACUUCUCAAGGUUGACCUCGGAUCAGGUAGGAAUACCCGCUGAACUUAAGCAUAUCAAUAAGCGGAGGA
RNAcentral lists this unclassified non-coding RNA (335 nucleotides) under soil metagenome. Its description in RNAcentral is "partial contains 5.8S ribosomal RNA, internal transcribed spacer 2, and large subunit ribosomal RNA". The stretch from base 1 to 121 matches the Rfam family "5.8S ribosomal RNA", at positions 35 to 154 of the family's 154-position model. The record is from RNAcentral.